GGCCGGGGCCGGGGCGGGAGGGGCGCGCAGCCUGUGGCGGAGCCGGGAGCGCACCGCCCUGUGGCCCCCGGCGCCCUCGGUCCCCGCCCCCAGUCGGCCUCCGCUCGGCUCCGCUAGGCCUCGCCGUCCCCCUCGUCCACCGUUCAGCUCGGCCGUAGGUCCCUGGAAGACGCUCCGGCUCCCAGGCCUGCAGGCCCGGAGUGGCCCUUUGCAGGGACGCCCUCCCACCUGGCCCUGGGAGGCUUGACUGCACCCCGGGGCGAUCCCCUCUGCUCUUCCCACUGCCCGGCUGACCUAAGGCGGCGCAGCCGGGCCUCAGACUGACCCCAAGCUCAGAACAGGUCUCAGCUCGCCCCUCUUGCUGGGCAAAUGGUUUACCCACAGAGGCCUGGGGGCAAGCCUUGAGGAGGCAUCUGGAGUAGGACGCCUGCUCCUGUAGUGCCUGGGGAAGGUACAAGAAGUCACAAUGAAAUGGAGCAGGACCCUCAGGCUGGGCAGAAAGGCGGCAACAGCCUUUGAUCCCUGAACCACCUGCCCCUGCACAGCCGGGCCUGCAGGCCCUGGAGGGGACACGUGCUAAACUGGACAUUUAAAACAGCACCAUACACAGUAGCCAGCUUGAUUUGCUCAUGCACCAGGACUCAUAGUCACACAUCUCAGGCUUUUCCAAAAUAGCCAGAUCCUGAAGCUAGUGUGCCAAGCAGAAGUGUCUGUGGAGUAAAAGAUCCAAAUGUGUGCAUGUAUUCCAGGUAUCUGUGCACUCAGAAACACCACUGGUCCAAAGGAUUUGUAACAAGUGCAAUCACACCAUAAGGGGACAGACAAUCUGUGUUAUUAAACUGCUACAAAGCCCGGUGUGGCAAUCGCUUUUAAAUUCCAGUACUCAGGAGGCAGAGGCAGGCAAAUCUCUAAGUUCAAGGCCAGCCCUAGUCUACAUAGCGAGUUCCAGGACAGCCAGGGCUUCGUAGGGAGACCCUGUCUCCAACAAAAACCUGCUAAAAGGCAAAAGGAAAACUAAUGUAUUUACAGAUUCAUCAUAACCCUAAUACGAAGAUCCAACAGAGAUUUCACCAAAAAGAACACAAGUACAGAGCACUGUCUAGAGAACUGAAUGUAUGUGCUUUGAUAAAAGGUGUCUGCUGUCUAAGGAGAUGAGAAGUACUGUGUGCCACCCAUCUGUCCACCUUUGGGAGACUCACAGUGGUUUGCAUACAUGUAUGUAUGGACACCACAUGUGUGCAGUGCCAAUGGAUGCCAGAAGAAGGCAUUGGAUGCCAUGGAAUUGGAGUUAAGGACACCAUGUGGGCGUUGGGAACCAAACCCUGGUCCUCGGUUAUUUACCCGAGUAGCUCUACACCUUCUGGAAGGAAUCUGAUUGCUCUCCACUUCUGCCAGUGUCCACUUGCCUUUCUGCUUCCCACCAUGUGCUGUGAUGGCAAGAGGCCCUCUGCAGAGCCAUGCUGCUGGACUUCCCCAAACCCAGAACCAUGAGAUCAACUCCAUUCCUUUCGAUGAUCUCACCUCAGGUUUUUUGUUACAAAAACAGACUAAUAUGAGUCCCCUAAGGACAAAGUCCCUCACACAGACACAAAGUUAUUCAAGUAAGAGGCCCACUCAACUUCCAACAGGACAGCAUAUGAAUAAAGAGAUGAACCAGUAAAUGAAGGCAUACUGGCUUUAGAUGUGACUUCCACACUGGAUGUGUUGAGAGGGAUCUGCCACCAAUCAGCUGCCUGAAUGUGGGGGACUGUACAGAGUUCUACAGUGGGCCAGGACAUAGAUUCAGUUUUCUGAGCAUAAAGCGUACUCAAGCACAACUCCAUGGAGCCACCCAAUCUAAACUCCUGUGUAUCUCUAGCUAGGACACACAAGCAUAUCUGUGUCUGUGGCCCAUGCAUGUGGGUGAUAUAAAAAUAAGUCAGUCUUUUUCUAUGAAAAGAAUAUUCUGUACAGUAUCAUUGUUCCUUUCAGCUCACAAAUACUAAUGUCUCUUUGUUAGUGACUGCCUAUCUGCUUAUGAGACACAGUGUGCUCAUUUGGUUUCCUUGCAAACAACUCAUGGUUGAUUUCUAAAUUAUCUUUAGAAUUUACCAGUCCAUGAAAUCCCAAAGUCUGGGAAUCAGGGCCUCCCUCAUUAAGAAUUCAUGGUUUUGA
Long non-coding RNA from Peromyscus californicus insignis, 2154 nucleotides. RefSeq lists it as uncharacterized. The record is from RefSeq and is a predicted model, not a curated record. The transcript has 3 exons. NCBI's taxonomy places the organism in Eukaryota, Metazoa, Chordata, Mammalia, Rodentia, Cricetidae.